RNAcentral lists this non-coding RNA (92 nucleotides) under Apilactobacillus kunkeei. Its description in RNAcentral is "TPP". It matches the Rfam family "TPP riboswitch aptamer (THI element)". Rfam says of the family: Vitamin B(1) in its active form thiamin pyrophosphate (TPP) is an essential coenzyme that is synthesised by coupling of pyrimidine and thiazole moieties in bacteria. The previously detected thiamin-regulatory element, thi box was extended, resulting in a new, highly conserved RNA secondary structure, the THI element, which is widely distributed in eubacteria and also occurs in some archaea. Lineage: Bacteria; Bacillati; Bacillota; Bacilli; Lactobacillales; Lactobacillaceae. The record is from RNAcentral.
AAACAUUAAUGGGGUGCCCUAAAAGGCUGAGAUUAUACCCAAGAACCUGAUCCAGAUAAUGCUGGCGCUAGGGAAGAUAACGCACUUGGACU